AUUUACUACUAGGGGAGCCCAAAAGGUGUGGGCUGAGAGGGAAGCAAGCACUUCCCGACUCUUAUGGACCUGAUCUGGAUAAUACCAGCGGAGGGAAGUAGUCGGACGUUUCC
Bacilli bacterium VT-13-104 is the source of this 113-nucleotide regulatory RNA element. It matches the Rfam family "TPP riboswitch aptamer (THI element)". From Rfam's summary of the family: Vitamin B(1) in its active form thiamin pyrophosphate (TPP) is an essential coenzyme that is synthesised by coupling of pyrimidine and thiazole moieties in bacteria. NCBI's taxonomy places the organism in Bacteria, Bacillati, Bacillota, Bacilli. The record is from Rfam.